CAUAGCUUUUGCUACACACUUAGAUAUACAAAAUGUCUAAAUACGUAACAAAAGCAAUAUAUCUUGAAACAUCAAAACAUCAUAUAACUUGGAACGAGGGGAGUACCAAUGAACAAGAAACGUCCCUACCUUAGUCUCACCUGAUUCCGUAGUUCUAAUUUCAAAGAGUCUAGUCAGCUAAUCAAAAGAUUCUAUCAAAUAUUUUUUAUUCACUAGUGAAGCAUUUUUAAUAGAGAAUCUAAAUAUGAAACAUCUUUGCAAGAAUCUAGAACCCUACACACAUGCUUUUCAUUAAGGUUGUUAGAUGAGUACUCUCCCAUGUCAAAAUAAGUGUGAAUCUUACUUCUCGAGGAGAUUGACUCAUUUUAUAAAAAACAAUAUCAAUAACUAUAUCAUCAAAUAAGUUUAUUAUCGAGUUAUAUGCCACAAUAUACUAAUACUAUACAUAAUAAAUAUUACUAUUUUUUGUUGUAUAUUUGAUCUUAAAAAAACGAGAAGUGCAUUUGUUUUAGAACGGAGGGAGUAGCUUGUGGUCAUAUUCAAAAUUUCUAGAAAAAGGAUUUUCAAUUAAAUAUUUUAGCUAAUAAUUUAUAAGCACAAAAUUUUUAAAACAAACUUUUAAGCCAGGAUUUUAUUUUAAUUAGGAAUUUCAGGAUGGUUUCUAGAAUGAAUUUUUAAUGAUGUGAUUAUGUGAAACAUUUUCCAAAGUCCCCCGAGGUGAAGCCGGCGACGGUCCUCACACGAUCACACCUCAAUGGCACGAAUCGUGGCGCGCAACCAACGGAGCCAGAGAACCCAACGUGUCCUAUGAACCCAGCCGAGCCACACCAAAGCCGGCGGCACCAAUUCCACCCCUCGCCGCCAUCUCCCACCUCUCUUUUUUCUCUUCCCCCCACCAGCCGUCCAGCAAAGAGCCGAAGCGGCGACGCUAGGGUUUGCUUCGACGGCCGCGAAACCUAGACCCUACUGCUCCCUCCCACAGCGCGGGCCGCCAUUCAGUAAUCUAGCUGCUAUACGCUUCGCUCCCCGCUCCGAUUGGGAGCUAGGGUUUAGCUCAGCUUCGGGUCGCGGCGGCGCGGCAUGGCGGGGUACGGGGAGGAGAACCAGAACGCCAUGAACGGGUACGAGGAGGAAGAGGAGGAAGAAGAGGUUGAAGAGGUCGAGGAGGUGUACGAAGAGGAGGAGGAGGAGGGGGACGGGGAUGGGGAGGGGGAGGGGGAAGCGGACGAGGGGGCUGCGGCCGCCGAGGCAGCGGCGAUGGCGGCCGAGACGAGAAGCGUCGUUGGAGACCGGGGCCUAGCGGAGGCCGCUGGGAAUGUUGACGCUGGUGGCGAGGAUGGGAGAGAUGCAGAUUCUGGGGGUGGUGAUUCGUCGGGGUGAGUUCCUUGGUAUCUUGGUUUUUCGUGUAGGGUUCGGUCUGUUGUAUUGGAUUAGGUGUGGCUGAUAGUUUUGGUUUGGUGCAUCCUCGUAUGUGAUUUUGCAGGAAGAUUUUCGUAGGGGGUGUAGCCUGGGAGACAACCGAAGGUAGUGAGCAAUUCUUUUGCGAUCUAAUCUAACUAUGAGGCAAUUUUAGUUUGUAUCAAGUAAAAUGUUGUACAACACACGAUAUAUUCUGGGAAAACAACACAGUACAAAGGCAAAUUUAGUUCUUUGUUUUGUUAGCAUAAAAGAAAAAUAUCUGCAAAUGAUAUAGUUGUUUCUGUUUUCAUGUGUUACUGAUUAAGUUCCGCAUUGGUUGGAUGAGUUACUGAUGCACUAUGAUUUUGCCUAGGUAGGCUAAUGUAUGUGGUAAAAGCUUAGAAUUGGGAGCUACUGCUACCUCCAUUAUAUUGAUGGAAGCAAGCCUGUACAUUGUAUAUCUCCCUCCAUCGUAUUGAUGGAAGCAAGCAUAUACUUUCUUUUCUUGUUUGUGUGUUCUUAAAUAGUAACAUAAAACAUUGCUAUUUGGUGAUUUGUGCCAGCCUACUUAAUGGAUUUCAGAAUUACAGCCAUUCUGAAUAUUUAGGUUUUUGAAGGACAGUUGCUACACAAUUUUUGUCUAAUUCCUAAACUGGUUAUGAGAUGCUGUUCCAUCUUUGUCUGCUCUGUUGUUUUUCGUGCUGAUCAGCUAGCUAUUGUGCUGCGAUGAUCAUAUUAAUACCAGUCAUGUUAAAUAAACUAUUAAUCUUUAUGAUUUAUUUCGUGUAAUUAUUCUGGAACUGUAUGUCAUUUGACCAAUACAGAUCAGGCUUCAUUUGGUGUAUUGGUAGGACUGAUUCUGCUUUGAUCUUUUCAAUAAUCACUAACUUAUGGAAAUAAUAAGUGUGACUCAGUGUGCAUAGAUCUGUGAACUAGAAAACAGUAAAUGGCUUUCAUUUCAAUAUAUUAAUGACAAUGUGGGUGAACUGUAAAAUAGGAGAAGUAUUUUAUUUGAGAAAUUGAAUGGCAAUUAAGUGUGUGUUUGCAUUGUUGUUCUAGAAUUAUUUGUCAGUUUUGUGUUCCUAACUUUGGAACAUAGGAGUGUCAUGGUCUUUAUUGUCACAUAAUUAGUUUGCAAUCUCACAUGGGUAUUGCUCUGUAGCUUAACUAAAGUUGUCUUCAAGAUGAAUCUUUCCCAUUAAUGAACCUCCAAAUCUACUCCAAAACUGUAUGUGAACCUUUUAGGAGUCAUGUUGCUCAUUCAUACUUUUUUUAGUCAUCAGUAGUGCCAAGUAUCUGCAGCUACAAAAGAAACAUUAGAAUACUGAUUGCUGAUCUCAUAGAGCAAUAAGUUUUUGUUAGAUUGUGUUAACUUGUUUAUUUCACUCCAUUUGCAUGUGCAGAAACAUUCACAAAGCAUUUUCAGAAGUAUGGAGCUAUAACUGAUUCUGUGAUCAUGAAGGACAAGCAUACUAGGAUGCCUCGUGGAUUUGGAUUUGUUACAUUUUCCGAUCCAUCUGUGCUUGACAGGGUUCUAGAGGAUGCCCAUGUCAUAGAUGGAAGAACAGUAAGGCUUCUAUGUUAAAUAUCCAAAUACCGCGAUCUUAAUUUUGGACUAUAUUAUCAACUGCGUUUAUUAUGCUUCAAGGUUGAAGUCAAAAGGACUGUCCCAAAAGAGGAAAUGUCGUCGAAAGAUGGACCUAAGACAAAAAAGAUCUUUGUGGGUGGUAUCCCAUCAUCUCUUACCGAAGGUACAAGCGUUGCUGAAACCUUUUUUGUUUUCAAGCAAAAGAUAUCUCAACAUUGUAUUGAACUUGCAAAUUAUAAUAACUUUGAUUAGCCACCAGCUAUAGUUGUUGGGCCUUGAAAACAUUUGUUUUGAAUGCAAGCAUGAUUAAUAUGAACUUUGCAGAUAAAUUAAAGGAGCACUUCUCAUCAUAUGGGAAGGUGGUUGAGCAUCAGAUUAUGCUUGACCAUAGCACUGGACGCUCGCGUGGCUUUGGAUUUGUCACAUUUGAAAGUGAGGAUGCUGUUGAAAGGGUUAUGUCAGAGGGGAGAAUGCAUGAUCUUGGAGGGAAACAGGUCACUUCUUUAUCUUUCAUUGUGUUUAGUGAUGUUAAAUAUCAUUGGCAUGUAAGCAGUUCUGCAGUUUUCAGGUUCAAUUAGCAAAUGCUCUAACUUGGCACGCCGUACUUCAUUGUUGUUGUUCACUUAAUUUGGUUAAUAAUCUUUUGGAUGCAAUUCUGUCUCUGUAUAAUAACUGAUGUGUUUGGGAGUUUUUGAACAUUGAUUCUUGUUUGUUUAGUACUCCCUCUGCUCCAAAUUAUAAGAUGUUUUCGGCUUUUCUUGUUCUACUGAUUUUACUAUAUAUAUCUAGACGUAGUGUAUAUCUAAGUGCAUAGCAAAAGCUAUGUAUCUAGAAAAGCCAAAAUGUCUUACAAUUUGGAAUGGAGGGAGUACAUAUCAUUACAUCAACAUGCUAGGAAGUAAGAAGUUUGAACUUUUAAUUGAUAGCAUGCUGAAUAUUGUUGACCUGACACUUUUUUUGAGUACGGAUCUAUGGUACUAGUUCUGCAUAUAGGGGUGUGUACAUUGUACUCUGUAUUAUUGAAAUAGACGCCAUCAUGCCAUUCUUUAUGAGAUAUUAUCUUUGUAUUGCGGAGAUGGUUACUUGAAAUGCAUUUCACUGGAUUACAUAAAUCAGCACUCAAUAGCUGAAGCACAUCCAGGGCCUGGGUUCAUUUUCCGGUGGAAGUGAAUUUCAGGGCUGGUUAAAAACCUCCCUAGGCAACCUCUGAAAUAGUGGCAGGGCACCAUCCUAUGGUAAAGGUGGCAGUUGGCCUGUGUGACUGAGUGGUGUGGUCUACCUUGAGAGUAGUCAUGGGGCGCUGAACUGGCGCUGUGGUGUGUGGUCCUGUGGCCACUGGCCUAGGUUAUGGUGCAGCACUAUAGGGUCUGCACUAUCAGUGUUCGGUCAGUUUCUCUGUGGUUAAGUAGUUCUUCUGUGGGGGGCAGUUUUGUCAGGAACUCUCAAUAUAGCUUUCAAUUGUGCCGGCAAUGGACAGAAGAUUCGGCUUAUGCUGGGCAAUGGACAGAAGAAGAGUUGGACUGGAUUUGCAUUGGACCACGGAGGCAUUGGAUACAGAGUACAAGGGCAGCAGCAGCAGCUAUGGGGGACUCGUCAAAGAACAGACCACAGAACCGGUGGUGAGCUCUGCUCAUGGCGAGUCUCUGGACUCGAUUUGCCUUUCUUUCCUCCUCCAUAUUACUUCAUAGUUGUAUCCAGCACAUUCUAGAAACUACCGAUUUGGGUUCGUGACAACUGGUGUCAGAGCUGUUGAUCCAUGGGCUCUCCAAUCUAGCCAUGGAUUCUGCAGAGGCGGCGCGGUGCUCUGGUUGGUUC
This 4801-nucleotide long non-coding RNA is filed under the name Sorghum bicolor (sorghum). RNAcentral describes it as "long non-coding RNA (SBIC_LNC018168)". The record is from RNAcentral. Lineage: Eukaryota; Viridiplantae; Streptophyta; Magnoliopsida; Poales; Poaceae.